RNAcentral lists this long non-coding RNA (1283 nucleotides) under Homo sapiens (human). Its description in RNAcentral is "HSALNT0251508". The record is from RNAcentral. Lineage: Eukaryota; Metazoa; Chordata; Mammalia; Primates; Hominidae.
CUCAGCCCUGAGGAAAUCUAGGGACCGGUUCCCCUUUAUGUCAAUCUCAGACCUAAGUUAAUCUCAGACUCAGCUUCAUAGAAUCUGAGGAACAGGACAUCAGAUGGCAUCAAAUCCAAUAAUCAUCACAGGAAUAGAAACCAAGGUCCAAGUUUGGGCAUCAGGAGGUAUCUUCAGGUUCUCUCUUCGUCUGCUUCCUAGUGUAUAGCCACAAGCCUACUAUACUGUGAUACAUAAAACCCAGAGAUGUGGCAAAUGAAAGUGGGAGCAACAAAACUACUACAGCGUAAGCCUGUAAUGCAAGGCGGAGGAAGGAAAGUAAAUGCUUAAAGUUUUCAUACAGCUAACUCUGUUGAUAGCUGCCAAGUAAAGAACCUAAAUUCAAGUGCUUUAUAAUUGUUACAAAUUGUGCCAAAGUACAGCGUGUUACAAUAAAUUAUGAAGCUUAUCUAAAUUAUAAAAGUAAUUAAACUUUCCUCAGAUACUCAUAACUCUGCCCUCCAUAAAUUUUCUGUUCAUUGCAUAUUCAAUACCUAUGUGUUCCAGUAAAACAAAAAAACUAAAAAAAAAAAAAACCAGAAGAAAGAACAAUCUCCUAAGAACGAUGAUGCACAAAUAGGCAUACAGCAUAAUCUAAACUGCAGAAAUGCAUGAACAGUUCCUCUCAAGAUCUUCAACCAUAACAAAUGUUAAUAAAAAUAUUUAUACUAGAAACAAUUCUCAGCUUUUUUGAAGUUUUGUUUUCCUCUUAUUAUUAUAGACAUUUGUUUUAACAUGAGUUUUCUCCUCCAUCCCAACAUUUCCUACUGCUGCAUGAUGCCAUAAAUCUUUGUUAGCAUAUUACUGUACAAUCUGUCACAAUAAUAACAAAAAUAAUGAAAGCCAUAGUAACCCAGUUAUAUAGUCCUUGCCACUUGCAAGAGUCCCAACUUCUUUAUAUACUCUAAAUAGUAGAAUAUAUACAGGAUCCAUCAAUUGCUGAAACACAGCAGUCUACAAUGGAAUACAGCUGCUGCUGAGAAUCAAACUGAACAAGAGCUGUAAAAUUACAAAAAAAAAAAAAAAAAAAGUUUAAAGCCACAAGAGAAUAUAUGGAGGAUACCAUUUCCAAGUUUAAAUUUAAAGAAAGACCAAAAAUGGCAUCCUGAUACUCGUAAGGCAAAAAAACAUCGUUCUUUCUAAAGGUUCAACCAUAUUUCCACUGGGAGCAAAUCAGCCGAGCAGGUGUGUUAGUGAUGAAGGAAACCCUUAUUCUAUUAUAAAUAUCUUCAAUAAUCAGCAAA